RNAcentral lists this long non-coding RNA (314 nucleotides) under Androctonus crassicauda. The record is from RNAcentral. Lineage: Eukaryota; Metazoa; Arthropoda; Arachnida; Scorpiones; Buthidae.
ACCAGGAGGAGGUUGGAUGGAUGGCGGACGUAGCGGCCCGACAUGGUUGUCGACGCGGCUUGGUUUGUGAAUUGGUGAGGGAGUCUGGGUCUGGAACACAUGCUGCUGUGGCCACGAGUGGCGGGAUUGGUGGCGGACUGGCCGUGGACCGGCCGGAGCGGGGCGCGUCCUGCACGGUGGUCCCAGAGGCUGUGGGAGACUUCCCAGUGGUGGGGGGCAUCCUGAGAAGGAGGCGGGCUGGAUGCGCCUACAGGAGACCCCCCACGAUUUUUGGCAUGUUGCGGAGCGGGGGGGAUGGGAGGGGUGAAUGUCGG